Molecule: long non-coding RNA, 437 nt
Filed under: Panax ginseng (ginseng)
Lineage: Eukaryota; Viridiplantae; Streptophyta; Magnoliopsida; Apiales; Araliaceae
Description: long non-coding RNA (PGIN_LNC011031)
Source: RNAcentral
AGUUCUUCACUCUACGAUUUAGUUUUGGUUGUGCAGACACUACGACUCUGAGAUCAGAUGUCGACACCCUACGAUCUCUGACCUUAAGCUUGAUGUCUUCAUCUGAUCGAGCUCGACUACGAUCUCUGCCUCUGAUGUGAUCAAUAGACUCUACAACUCUGAGUGUGGUCUACGAUUCUUGACUUAGCUUCGGCAGAUGCUCGGUCGGCUCUUAGACAGGUUGUCUCUACGAUUCUGAACAUGACUUCUUUAGCAGACUACAGCUCCGAGGAAGUUUUCCUCGAUACACUACGAUCCUUCCUCGUCUCUCCUGGCAGUCUAUGAACUCCGAGAUCUACUAUCUUACAGACUACGAUUCUGCCUUGAUAGCUCUCGAGGUUUCUUCAACUCUCCUGACAAACUACGAUUUCUGGUGCAGUACUCGACGAUCAUACAAG